CUCUGCGGUUCUGUAGGGUAACUGCUGCUAGAGAGCCUAAUUGAUUUUGGAGUGCCGCCGGGUUAGAGUCUCCGCGACUGAGCUGGUCUCGGCAAGCGGUGCCCAACAUGGGGGCUCACAUCCGGGUCAAAGGGUCGCCGGAGCGACAGUUGGAGAACGUGAAACUAAACUGGAGGACACCCGAGUACUCUUAAGCAAUCCCCGUGAGCCAGGAGAGCGUAUAGCACAGCUCCUGAUUGUGCCGUGAGAGUGGACAGGGCGAUGGCAGGUUCGCCGGGUGUGAGGCUUCACAGCGGUCCAGGGACCAAGUCGAGAUGGUGAAAACAAGACCAAGAUUGGAAAGCCAGCUUCAGAGGAGGGAAUUACAGCAAAAAUUGAACCAUUGACAGAAGAGUCUAGCAGUCUCAGAGAGAAUGUUCUCCAGGAUUCUGAAGGCAGAGAAUUCUGUGAAUUUGGGGAUAAAUUAAAUGAAAAAGAUCAGAACGCCUUUAAAAGGAGACCUCAAAACUGUGACAAAUAUGGGCAAAGCUUUGUUUGGAGUACAAGCCUUUUUAGGCAUCGAAGAACCCAUGGUGAGAAAGCUUAUGAAUGUGACAGGAGUGACUGGUGAGACAGUCAGCUACAAAAUGGAAAAAAACAAAUAUGACAAAAUGCCAAGGGGCCUAACACCACGGAAGCAAUAAGGGCUGCAGGAAAUGAAAAGAGAGAUAUCUGAGGUGGUAUUAAAGGUAGUGAAAGAGAUGGGUCGGUAUGUGAUGAAGAUCCUUUUCUUUAGAAAAGAAUUCUUCUCACAGUCACGUGGUCACAGGAUUGUUACUUUAGAAUCCCUUCCAACAUGUCUGGACCACAUUAGCCAGGAAAAAGAACUUUAACAUAGAGGACACAAACACAGGGCGUGCAGUAGCGCCAGAAUCUUUGUAUAGGAGGCUCAGAGGAGCAGCAAGAUCGAAACAGACACCCAGGGCGGGGCGCAGUGGCUCACGCCUGUAAUCCCAAGCACUUUAGGAGGCUGAGGUGGGUGGAUCACUUGAGGU
RNAcentral lists this long non-coding RNA (1034 nucleotides) under Homo sapiens (human). RNAcentral's name for it is "HSALNT0290162". The record is from RNAcentral. Lineage: Eukaryota; Metazoa; Chordata; Mammalia; Primates; Hominidae.